GAUGAACGCUAGCGGCAGGCCUAACACAUGCAAGUCGAGGGAGAAGCCCUUCGGGGCAGAAACCGGCGCACGGGUGCGUAACGCGUAUGCAACCUACCUUUCACAGGGGGAUAGCCCGAAGAAAUUUGGAUUAAUACCCCAUAAUAUUAUUGGAUGGCAUCAUUUGAUAAUUAAAAUUACGAUGGUGAAAGAUGGGCAUGCGUCCUAUUAGCUAGUUGGAGUGGUAACGGCACCCCAAGGCUACGAUAGGUAGGGGUCCUGAGAGGGAGAUCCCCCACACUGGUACUGAGACAGGGACCAGACUCCUACGGGAGGCAGCAGUGAGGAAUAUUGGUCAAUGGUCGGAAGACUGAACCAGCCAUGCCGCGUGCAGGAAGAAUGCCUUAUGGGNUGUAAACUGCUUUUAUAUGGGAAGAAUAAGGAGUACGUGUACUUNGANGACGNUNCCA
Molecule: ribosomal RNA, 449 nt
Filed under: uncultured bacterium
Lineage: Bacteria
Description: bacterial SSU rRNA
Rfam family: Bacterial small subunit ribosomal RNA
Source: RNAcentral